RNAcentral lists this small RNA (128 nucleotides) under Pasteurella bettyae CCUG 2042. RNAcentral describes it as "GcvB RNA". It matches the Rfam family "GcvB RNA", at positions 1 to 142 of the family's 204-position model. Rfam says of the family: The gcvB gene encodes a small untranslated RNA involved in expression of the dipeptide and oligopeptide transport systems in Escherichia coli. Included several unknown homologues in alignment (Bateman A pers obs). It base-pairs with SorC. The record is from RNAcentral. Lineage: Bacteria; Pseudomonadati; Pseudomonadota; Gammaproteobacteria; Pasteurellales; Pasteurellaceae.
ACUUAAUGAUUAGGAAUUCCUUUUUGUAAGAAUUUAUUCUUAUUAAGUAUUAUGUUGUGUUUGCAUAUUGUUCGGGAAACCGAACUCAAGUAACUUAAUUUUAGUUACUUAUUUUAACUUCCUGUAUA